GUACCCCCAAAGGGGUGCAAAAGAGGCGUGUGAAUAGUCCGCAUCAUUGGCCUGUACGGACGGUUCGUGAAUC
This 73-nucleotide non-coding RNA is filed under the name unclassified sequences. Its description in RNAcentral is "L13-Bacteroidia ribosomal protein leader". It matches the Rfam family "L13-Bacteroidia ribosomal protein leader". The record is from RNAcentral.